GCCAGUGUGGUGUAGAGGUUUGAGCAUUGGAUUAUGACCCUGGAGACCAGGGUUCGAAUCCCUGCUCAGCCA
Non-coding RNA from Phrynosoma platyrhinos (Desert horned lizard), 72 nucleotides. NCBI's taxonomy places the organism in Eukaryota, Metazoa, Chordata, Lepidosauria, Squamata, Phrynosomatidae. The record is from the annotation of a GenBank genome assembly.